Molecule: non-coding RNA, 549 nt
Organism: Schizosaccharomyces pombe (fission yeast)
Lineage: Eukaryota; Fungi; Ascomycota; Schizosaccharomycetes; Schizosaccharomycetales; Schizosaccharomycetaceae
Source: the annotation of a GenBank genome assembly
UAGCCAAAGCCAAGGCAGAAGUAGUACUGAUUAAGACAGGAGAUGAAAUUGAUCGUACCUUUUUAACCGACCUUAUCCGUUGCUUACGGAGCCUUAGAAUACCAAAGAAAAGUGUAUCAAAUAGUUUGAAGGAGCGAGAACGCUUGACAGAAGUAUGUUUCUUAAUACCAGAACGGGAACGAUUAUGCAUAGGGGUAUUUAAUUUUUCACUCGAUAUACAUAACUUAGAGGGAUCUUCAAUGUUGACAGAAGUAGGAAGUUGCGAUGGACUGCGCAUAUCAUUUGCCUGCGCAUCAUUAGUGCCUUGACGGGUAUAACUGGAAUUUUGAUGUGGAAGCAUGGUAAUAAAUUUUAAGAAAAAGAGAAAAUAAAAGUAAAAUGGAAACAAAUCACAAUCAAAGGUGAAGUGAUGGGAUUAAAGGUUUUAAUGAGAAAAUAAUUCGACAAAUAUGUAACAAAGGGAAACUUUUUUUUUGAAUUACACGAAAUGUUUUCAAACUUGAAUUAUGCACAAAAUUAGAGAAACCUGAGAAUAAUAAAUAAGCUUGA